This 1077-nucleotide ribosomal RNA is filed under the name Listeria monocytogenes. RNAcentral's name for it is "partial 23S ribosomal RNA". It matches the Rfam family "Bacterial large subunit ribosomal RNA", at positions 304 to 1375 of the family's 2925-position model. The record is from RNAcentral. Lineage: Bacteria; Bacillati; Bacillota; Bacilli; Caryophanales; Listeriaceae.
GACACUCUAUACGGAGUUACAAAAGAAAGUUAUAAAUGAAGCGGUCUGGAAAGGCCCGCCAAAGACGGUAACAGCCCGGUAGUUGAAAUGGCUUUCCCUCCAGAGUGGAUCCUGAGUACGGCGGAACACGUGAAAUUCCGUCGGAAUCCGGGAGGACCAUCUCCCAAGGCUAAAUACUCCCUAGUGACCGAUAGUGAACCAGUACCGUGAGGGAAAGGUGAAAAGCACCCCGGAAGGGGAGUGAAACAGUUCCUGAAACCGUGUGCCUACAAGUAGUUAGAGCCCGUUAAUGGGUGAUAGCGUGCCUUUUGUAGAAUGAACCGGCGAGUUACGAUUUGUUGCAAGGUUAAGCGGAAAAAGCGGAGCCGUAGCGAAAGCGAGUCUGAAUAGGGCGCAUAAGUAACAGGUCGUAGACCCGAAACCAGGUGAUCUACCCAUGUCCAGGAUGAAGGUAAGGUAAUACUUACUGGAGGUCCGAACCCACGCACGUUGAAAAGUGCGGGGAUGAGGUGUGGGUAGCGGAGAAAUUCCAAUCGAACUUGGAGAUAGCUGGUUCUCUCCGAAAUAGCUUUAGGGCUAGCCUCGAGGUAAAGAGUCAUGGAGGUAGAGCACUGUUUGGACUAGGGGCCCUUCUCGGGUUACCGAAUUCAGAUAAACUCCGAAUGCCAUGUACUUAUACUCGGGAGUCAGACUGCGAGUGAUAAGAUCCGUAGUCGAAAGGGAAACAGCCCAGACCACCAGUUAAGGUCCCCAAAUAUAUGUUAAGUGGAAAAGGAUGUGGGGUUGCUUAGACAACCAGGAUGUUGGCUUAGAAGCAGCCACCAUUGAAAGAGUGCGUAAUAGCUCACUGGUCGAGUGACCCCGCGCCGAAAAUGUACCGGGGCUAAACAUAUUACCGAAACUGUGGAUGAACCUCUUUAGAGGUUCGUGGUAGGAGAGCGUUCUAAGGGCGGUGAAGUCAGACCGGAAGGACUGGUGGAGCGCUUAGAAGUGAGAAUGCCGGUAUGAGUAGCGAAAGAAGGGUGAGAAUCCCUUCCACCGAAUAUCUAAGGUUUCCUGAGGAAGGCUCGUCCGCUC